Molecule: ribosomal RNA, 1808 nt
Filed under: human gut metagenome
Description: bacterial LSU rRNA
Rfam family: Bacterial large subunit ribosomal RNA
Source: RNAcentral
AGGUUGGCUCAGAAGCAGCCAUCCUUUAAAGAGUGCGUAACAGCUCACUAGUCGAAUGACUCUGCGCCGAUAAUUUACCGGGGCUAAGCAUACUACCGAAGCUAUGGAUCCCAAGGGAUGGUAGGGGAGCGUUCCAUGAACGGAGAAGUACGACCGAAAGGACGUGUGGAGAUCAUGGAAGAGAGAAUGCCGGUGUGAGUAGCGGAACGUGGGUGAGAAUCCCACGCACCGAAAACCCAAGGUUUCCAGAGGAAGGUUCGUCCGCUCUGGGUAAGUCGGGACCUAAGGCGAGGCCGAAAGGCGUAGUCGAUGGACAACAGGUAGAGAUUCCUGUACCCGUAUAUAUGUGAAGGAAUGACGGAGAGAGGAAGCUGCAGCCAGCGGCUGGAAGAGCUGGUGCAAGCGAGAUAUCGGGAUGGCAGGCAAAUCCACCAUCCGAAACGAGAAGGCGUGAAGCGUACGGAAAGCUAAGGCGAGUACGGAAGGCAGUGGAGGAGCUUCCAAGAAAAGUUUCUAACGAAAGUAUAUGUGACCCGUACCGAAAAUGGACACACAUGGGUGAGGAGAGAAUCCUAAGGUGAGCGAGAGAACUAUAGCUAAGGAACUCUGCAAAAUGACUCCGUAACUUAGGGAGAAGGAGUGCUCAUAGAGAUAUGAGCCGCAGUGAAACGGCCCAAGCGACUGUUUACCAAAAACACAGCUCUCUGCUAAGCCGCAAGGCGAAGUAUAGGGGGUGACGCCUGCCCGGUGCUGGAAGGUUAAGGGGAGGGGUUAACGCAAGUGAAGCCCUGAACUGAAGCCCCAGUAAACGGCGGCCGUAACUAUAACGGUCCUAAGGUAGCGAAAUUCCUUGUCAGGUAAGUUCUGACCCGCACGAAAGGCGUAACGAUUUGGGCGCUGUCUCAGCUGUAGACUCGGUGAAGUCUUAGUACCUGUGAAGAUGCAGGUUACCCGCGACUAGACGGAAAGACCCCAUGGAGCUUCACUGCAGGUUGAUAUUGGGAUUUGAUGCAGCAUGUACAGGAUAGGUAGGAGGCAAAGAGAUGGAUACGCCAGUAUUCAAGGAGCCGCUGUUGGGAUACUACCCCUGUUGUAUUGGAUUUCUAACCGGACGACGUAAAGCCGUUGACGGGACAGUGUCAGUCGGGCAGUUUGACUGGGGCGGUCGCCUCCCAAAGAGUAACGGAGGCGCCCAAAGAUACCCUCAGCUUGGAUGGAAACCAAGCGCAGAGUGCAAAGGCAAAAGGGUGUUUGACUGCGAGACCCACAAGUCGAGCAGGGACGAAAGUCGGGCUUAGUGAUCCGGCGGUGCUGAAUGGAAAGGCCGUCGCUCAACGGAUAAAAGCUACCCUGGGGAUAACAGGCUGAUCUCCCCCAAGAGUUCACAUCGACGGGGAGGUUUGGCACCUCGAUGUCGGCUCAUCGCAUCCUGGAGCUGAAGUCGGUUCCAAGGGUUGGGCUGUUCGCCCAUUAAAGCGGUACGCGAGCUGGGUUCAGAACGUCGUGAGACAGUUCGGUCCCUAUCUGUCGUGGGCGCAGGAAAUUUGAGAAGAGCUGUCCUCAGUACGAGAGGACCGGGAUGGACGCAUCAAUGGUGGACCAGUUGUCACGCCAGUGGCAUAGCUGGGUAGCUAAAUGCGGAAGGGAUAAACGCUGAAGGCAUCUAAGUGUGAAACCCACUUCAAGAUGAGAUUUCCCAUUGCGCAAGCAAGUAAGACCCCUUAAAGACGAUAAGGUAGAUAGGUCAGGAGUGUAAGCAUGGUGACAUGUUAAGCGGACUGAUACUAAUAGGUCGAGGGCUUGACCGA